GGUAGCAUGCUUGUCUGAGUGUCUGUGGAUCCCACUCAGCGCUGGCUUCGCGCUGGCUGCUGGUCUUUUGGCCGUGACUGAACUUGUUUAGUCUCGGCUUAAGUUUUACGUCAAGUACGUGCAUAGAUCUAGAAAGCUCUGCCCGUCUAGUUAAAAACACGGCGCUGACACUCUUGUCUAUCUCUGGUAGGUUUAUUCAACUGGAGUUUGCUAGGAGUCGUCUGUAGCUGUUUUGAAACUAAUGGAAUGAGCGGUUUUAGAUCUAACUAGCUGGAAACAGUUAGUUAUACAAUUCCGGAUCUCAGAUCAAGCAAGAGGACCCGCCGAAUUUAAGCAUAUAAUUAAGCGGAGGAAAAGAAACUAACUAGGAUUCCCUCAGUAACGGCGAGUGAAGCGGGACUAGCUCAGGAUGUGAAUCUGCGCUUUUAUGGCGCCGAAUUGUGGUCUGUAGACUUUGACAUUAUUUGCCGGGCCAAGUUCCUUGGAAAAGGACAGCUGAGAGGGUGACACUCCCGUCCGCCUGGUAAAGUGAGUCAUUUGUCAACGAGUCGAGUUGUUUGGGAUUGCAGCUCUAAUUUGGUGGUAAAUUCCAUCUAAAGCUAAAUAUUGGUGGGAGACCGAUAGCGUACAAGUACCGUGAGGGAAAGAUGCAAAGAACUUUGAAAAGAGAGUUAAAGAGUACCUGAAACUGCUGAAACGGAAGCGAAGGAAACCAGUGUUUGUUUGUUCAUAUUUCCCUGGCCACUUGUGGUCUGGGCGCUGUGGACUUGCGUGAGUUUGGGUUGGUUGAUCCCUUUGG
Molecule: ribosomal RNA, 799 nt
Filed under: Pseudo-nitzschia pungens var. pungens
Lineage: Eukaryota; Bacillariophyta; Bacillariophyceae; Bacillariales; Bacillariaceae
Description: eukaryotic LSU rRNA
Rfam family: Eukaryotic large subunit ribosomal RNA (bases 297-799)
Source: RNAcentral